AGUGUUCAAACAAAAACAAUACAAUGGAUUUAGUUGGCAAUGAUUUAUUAAUGAUCUAGGUUGUUUUUGCUGACAACGUUCUUUAACUGCAAGACUAUAAUUCAUGAGAGUUUCUCGGCUUCGCCCUCACCCCACUGCCAAUCAACUGGACAAAUCCUGUGUUUCCAUGGCGAUGUGGAAGGCCGGAAACGACCUGCCUUUGUGGAGAAGGUGAACUCUGUAUUUCCUCUGCUGCGUGUGGGCGGUUGGACAGGAUUUAUAAAAACACCCGGCCGAUCACGGGCGCACCGCUGAGCGCCUUCUGUGACUUCUGCGGGCCAAGAAAUACAACCGACCACUAAUGUUACACGCGCGCAUGCAUCGAGCUCAAACAAAACGUGGUGCAGUGAAAAGAACACAUCCGCCCACGCCGUCUGACCCAAUCACUGCAGCGAACAGGACGACAUGUUCACAUUAACACUCGUGGAACGCACUCAACAUUCACAAGUGAGAAUUGUGAUGCUGAUCACGGCCGAUGGACUACUUCUUUGUCUGCUCCCUCCCACCUGUUACAAGUCAUUACCAAUGUCCCUUUGAUCGAUCUCCCCGGGUGGAUCAUUGCAGCGGCUGAUCGACGACAAGCAAUGGUGCAGCGCCCCCGCUCCCCUGGGACGGGGGUCAUUGAUGGUGGAGGAAGCACACUUACUUAAAAGCGGCAUUACAAUUAUUUAAUAGAAUUCCACUAAAAGUAAAGCUGGAGUCCUAAGACCACAACAAUGGUUUAUUUUCAUGAGCUUCAACGGCUCUAUCCUGAAUUAUUAACAACUUCUCCAACAAAAUGAAUAUUAGCUUUCAUGUAAAUAACCGGGGAUGUUUCACGGUGACAUCAAUUAGUUUUUACCUCAUUGACCUUUGGUGUAUCCCCUUAAACUGAAAAGCAGUUAAUGGCUGUCAAAUAAAUGUAGCAGGGAGUAAAUGUAAAGUAGUAGUAGCGUAAAAUGGAAAUACUCAACCUCAAAACUGCACUAAAGUACAGGCAUGAUUAAAUGUACUUCAGGACUUUCCCCCGAGGGACAAUGUGGAGAAAUAGUGACAACUUUAGUGCUGAAAAGUUGACAUUAUGCUGGGGUGAGCGAAGGGUCGAUGUGCUGUGAAGUCACACAUCAAGGUGAGAUUUAGCGGAAAGCAGAGAGAGCCAAGCAGAGGUCAAGUGUAAGUGUGUGUGUGUGUGUGUGUGUGUGUGUGUGUGUGUGCGUGUGCGGGGAGGAGAGUGUGUUUCCACAUAUCCUAUUAGAAUUAUUUCAGCUUCAUUUGAUAGUCAGAGGGCGUGAGAGACUUGGUAGAUUAGAGCAGGAGGGAUGUGACGGUGAAUAUAUGGAAGGUCCCCAGCUGAAAGCAGGACCUUUUAAAUAAAAAUAUGACCAGAUCAGGUCCCGGAGCAUCUUGUAAUUCCAAUAUAAAGGGCGGCGGGUGGCUGCAGCAGGGUGGGGGAGGAUUUCUCUGCAGGGAUGUGAUACGAGAUUACCUCUGUUCAAUCCAAGAGACUUAACAAAAUAAAAGUAUGGCUGUGUCCCCACUGUGUGUGUGUCUGUGUAUGUGUCCAGACGAAGGACGAGCAUCACCUGUACCUCAGCCUCGUCUCCCGCUCUCCCCUCUCCAUGACUACUAGGUUGCUCCCUACGAAUACGUGAGGUGCUGUUUCCAAGGUAACAACUCUAUGGAGAAUUGGCCACCUGAAAUCCAGACGGAGAGGAAAAGGAGGGCGACCAGCGGUCUGCAGGCUCUUCACUGCGCCUCCGUCCGUCCGGCUCUUUCCUGCGCUGUGGCCCUCAGAGACUAUCAGUCCUCAUUAGCACAAGACGUCUUCCUACCAGCACUACCUUACACCCGUGGGAGGGGGAGGCAGGGAGAGAGAGAGAGAGAGAGACCUUUCUUGAAAUGACGGCCAUUAGCGUUCCUGGUGUGGAGAUCAGUCUACUAUUCAAAGAUGUGCAUACAUGCGUAAAGGCAGAUGUGGUGGUGCACUAUUACAAUAAAUAAAAUAGCACUACAUGAAUUGCUUUUCUUGUUUUGGUUGCUUUAUUUUGAAAGUCUGCUACACCUCUCUUCAUUUAUCUUGAACCAUCAGUGUUUGCAGCCC
Gasterosteus aculeatus aculeatus (three-spined stickleback) is the source of this 2119-nucleotide long non-coding RNA. NCBI's taxonomy places the organism in Eukaryota, Metazoa, Chordata, Actinopteri, Perciformes, Gasterosteidae. The record is from Ensembl.